Myotis brandtii (Brandt's bat) is the source of this 75-nucleotide non-coding RNA. NCBI's taxonomy places the organism in Eukaryota, Metazoa, Chordata, Mammalia, Chiroptera, Vespertilionidae. The record is from Rfam.
GGUGGUUUUCGGGUGUGCACCCCAGAUUUGGGCUCCCUCCUCUCUGGUUCUGGUGUGCGUCACCCAAGAACCACC